This is a long non-coding RNA of Cyprinus carpio (common carp), 2054 nucleotides long. RefSeq lists it as uncharacterized. The transcript has 6 exons. NCBI's taxonomy places the organism in Eukaryota, Metazoa, Chordata, Actinopteri, Cypriniformes, Cyprinidae. The record is from RefSeq and is a predicted model, not a curated record.
UGAUCACAAUGUCAUAUCUAUGACAUUUCCUUUGUUUGUACCCCUUAAUACAGAUGCACAGUAUUCCUGCGCUGGCCUGUUUCUCCUUUGAGCAAUUUUCUGGUUCUUCACUUAGUAAAUAUUCUUCCUAUUUUGUAGCCUUAUUGGCCUUCACUGGUGGCCUACUGCUAGGUGGCUUCAUCGUCUCAAAAUUAGCUAAGAAAUAGCUAAGAGGAAGAAAAUGAAGAUGUUGCAACAGAAGUGUCCAUAAUGUUGCACUUGAGCAAAACCUUGUAUAUUACAUCUGGAUUUUGAAAUAUGCCCCAAUUUUUAUUGUAAUAUGCCUUUAUUUUAUAUGUAUUUAUACUGUUUUGUAGAAAACAUAUUGAAUAUGGUCAUAUUGAUUUAAAGAAGGGUACAUGUUUAUUCAGGAUCAGGACAGAUUGUUGGGAUAAAACUGAGCCUAAGCUUUUUACUGAUAAUUGACACAUGAACAAUAGUGGUUUGUAUAAUCUGGCUUGUCCUCUCUUUUGUUCAUUUAAAUAUUUUGCAUUGAAUGUGGUUAAAGUCCAGAUAAUUUGUAUGUAAAAACGUUUAUAUAUAUAACGUGCAUUUUUAUGCCUGAUGGUUCUGUAAUAAAAUAUGAAAUAGUUAAAUAUAGGCAUUUGUACAGAGAGGGUUUCUUUUUUCUUUUUCUUUUUUUUUCUGAGCUAUAUUAAAGGUUGAGGAUGCCUGCUAAAUAUAGGUUUGUUUUGGGUGGAGAAAUGCACGGGAAUUAAGCAAACCGCUCGUUUGUUUCGCUUUUGUUAUCAUUUAGCCUAGUGCGAAGCUAGCAGCGAAGAUGCGGAACUGACAACAUUUUUAUUAUAUCUGAUUGGGACAUCAAACCAGUUAGGUCUGCGAUAUGUUUGUACUAUGGCACUGACGUAAAAGCAGAGGCCACACAUAGAUACAGUUUCACUGUGGUUUGUGAAGUGGCCAUCAAAUCAGUAGGACCAAGGAGGAAGAAGGGGAAAAAAGCGCUCAUGGAAUCAGAUUACCAGUUUUCAGAGAAACUUGUACUUCGGUCAGUGAUGGACCAGGUACAGAGAGCAGGAGCAUGUGCACCGUCUCUUCCUGAACCGCAGACACUGAGUGCUGAGCGGGAGCAGCUCCUGGACCAGGUGGCCAACGUGAUCAGAGUCAUCGGCGACUCUCGAUCGAGAGCCGAGAUUCAACGACAUGGUUGAUGGGUUUGCACGUGUGGCGGAUAGACAGUUUCCAGAUGCUUGUAGACAAAGUGUUUGUUGAUGAUACCACCUGGGGGAAAAUUGUUACUCUGAUCUGUGUUAUUGGGAAAUCCAUUGCAAAGAUUCUUGCUGAUUUUGUCUCAGGCGUUGUGUCUUGGACACUGGAUUACUUCAGGGAUAACCUACAGAACUGGAUCUGCAGUAGGGGAGGAUGGAUCAACAGUAUCUCUUCCUUGGCUCGUUACUCCUUUGAGCAAGAUUUUGGUUCCUCGUCCAGCCUGAACUCCCUCUCCUGUGGAGUCUUCUUCAUCAGUGGAGUACUGCUGGGUGGCCUCAUCGUCUGGAGACUAAACAGAUGUUCCUGAGGACGGUGAUGACGGUGAUGACUGAUGAAGUGCGAAAAGGAGAAAUGCUGGGAAUUACACAUGCAACGGACCAAAAAUAAAGAUGUUUUGGACGAGUAAGAGAAGACUGCUUGCCAAUAUUAUGCAUAGUAAGAAAGUAUAAAACAUUAUAAUGUAUAAUGUAUAAUGAAUGGCAUGUCUCAGUCCAUGUGAGUGUGGAGGGAUAAAAUGCAUACAAAAUGGGGAGUAAAGCAAUAACUAGCAGGACUUGAAAUGUCAUAGGUGCUGGGCCAAAACUAUUUACUGUAAUUGUUAGUAACCUCUACCUCGUCUUUAAAUUUUUUUGUAUACAUUUAUAAAUAACCUUGUAACUAUAGACUGAAUGACAAUGCACUAUUUUGUAUUGUUACAUUUGAAAUGUAAUUGUUUCAGCUUUUCCAAUAAUGUAGAUUAUGAAAGACCAAUGCAAAAGGCCUACAUUAAAUACAGUCCUUCCCACAAA